GGCGGCGGCCCCGAUUGGCCGAGUCUGGGUCACGUGGCCCCUCCGAGUUUCCCUUCCCCGUGCAGCCCUGCCGGAACGCCGCAGGUUCCCGGAGCGGCCCGCAGGCGUCACCGCUUCUGAGUGGCUGCUGGUCCAGGCAGGGCGCGCCGCUGUGGCGGUUGUUAUUCUGAUGAGAAAUGGAGCCAGAACCCUCGUCAAAUUGCACCUGCGGUCCAACCACGUCUUUUCAGUUGAGUCCCCGAAACCUGUUUAGCUUAAGCCAGUUUGAGCAGCACGUUCUCUUACUUGCAAGAUUAAACGUCAGAGUUGAAACACAAAUAGAGAUAAAUACUGAUCAGAACGACCUGGAAAAAAAUGAAUUUUUCAUGUACUAAGCUUGUGACUUAGUAAGAAAGUCUUCGAGCCGGUACCCAUGCCCUCAGCAGGGACAAACCUGGCAAGUUGGAGAAACAGCAAGGAGACAACUCAGGGAGCUUACGAAUGAUCGAGAGGAAGACGGUAGGAGGUAAGAUUGGACAGACGGCAAGAGUCAGACGUCAGAGCCACGUCAGAGUAGAGCUGGCCCUUCGGAUCUCACCCCAACGAGACCCAUGCGAUCCCGGCAACAAAACACUGUUCUUCCAGCUCUUAGCUGCUUUGAUUGGAAGCAAGGAGUUUCAAAUCGUCUUCUUGAUGUCUGUGAAGGGUUUAAUGGGACUGCAGAAGACAGAAAACAAAGAUUGUCAUGGUCUUUUCCACAGACUCAACUGUGCUCAUCUGUCUGCGUGUUUGGUGCCAGUGCAAAGGUAAAUUCUGGCAAACUCAGUCGGUGAUCUUCUUACCAAAGAAAUGAACAGACCUGAGCUGCUAAGUGUCCUCCAGCCCUUACACACAACCUGCCCAUAGAGGUGAGAUCUGCUUACCUGCAAUGUUGGGCUUUUCCUAAGGAAAGUUUGGGUCACCUUUCACUUUCCUCUGAAUAUGCAGAAGCAGGGAGAUUUCUGACCAUAGAAAUGGAAGCAGGAGCCUCUUAGAUGCUUCCUACAAGAUACCUGUCGUCGUUGGCGGUCGGAGAAAAGAUGUGCACGCGCUGCCUGCUGUCAAAGCCUCUCUCUCACGGUGCGGGAAAGGCGUGCCCUCCUCUAGUCUGGAAAUACAUCAGGGGUGAGAACGGACUCGGGGCCUGCGGGAAGACAGAGGCUCAUACGCUUUUCUCCAGCCGGUUGGAGGGUCUUUGAAGAGGCUGCAGGUGGAUGAAC
Kogia breviceps (pygmy sperm whale) is the source of this 1238-nucleotide non-coding RNA. Lineage: Eukaryota; Metazoa; Chordata; Mammalia; Artiodactyla; Physeteridae. The record is from RefSeq and is a predicted model, not a curated record.